CCUACGUGCGGCAGCAGUGGGGAAUAUUGGGCAAUGGGCGCAAGCCUGACCCAGCAACGCCGCGUGAAGGAAGAAGGCUUUCGGGUUGUAAACUUCUUUUGUCAGGGACGAAGCAAGUGACGGUACCUGACGAAUAAGCCACGGCUAACUACGUGCCAGCAGCCGCGGUACUACGUAGGUGGCAAGCGUUAUCCGGAUUUACUGGGUGUAAAGGGCGUGUAGGCGGGGAAGCAAGUCAGAUGUGAAAACCACGGGCUCAACCUGUGGCCUGCAUUUGAAACUGUUUUUCUUGAGUGUUGGAGAGGCAAUCGGAAUUCCGUGUGUAGCGGUGAAAUGCGUAGAUAUACGGAGGAACACCAGUGGCGAAGGCGGAUUGCUAGACAGUAACUGACGCUGAGGCGCGAAAGCGUGGGGAGCAAACAGGAUUAGAUACCCUUGUAGUC
RNAcentral lists this ribosomal RNA (443 nucleotides) under uncultured bacterium. RNAcentral's name for it is "partial 16S ribosomal RNA". It matches the Rfam family "Bacterial small subunit ribosomal RNA", at positions 338 to 795 of the family's 1533-position model. The record is from RNAcentral.